This 917-nucleotide ribosomal RNA is filed under the name uncultured Enterococcus sp. RNAcentral describes it as "bacterial SSU rRNA". It matches the Rfam family "Bacterial small subunit ribosomal RNA", at positions 1 to 887 of the family's 1533-position model. Lineage: Bacteria; Bacillati; Bacillota; Bacilli; Lactobacillales; Enterococcaceae. The record is from RNAcentral.
AUUAUUCUAGAGUUUGAUCAUGGCUCAGGACGAACGCUGGCGGCGUGCCUAAUACAUGCAAGUCGAACGCUUCUUUCCUCCCGAGUGCUUGCACUCAAUUGGAAAGAGGAGUGGCGGACGGGUGAGUAACACGUGGGUAACCUACCCAUCAGAGGGGGAUAACACUUGGAAACAGGUGCUAAUACCGCAUAACAGUUUAUGCCGCAUGGCAUAAGAGUGAAAGGCGCUUUCGGGUGUCGCUGAUGGAUGGACCCGCGGUGCAUUAACUAGUUGGUGAGGUAACGGCUCACCAAGGCCACGAUGCAUAGCCGACCUGAGAGGGUGAUCGGCCACACUGGGACUGAGACACGGCCCAGACUCCUACGGGAGGCAGCAGUAGGGAAUCUUCGGCAAUGGACGAAAGUCUGACCGAGCAACGCCGCGUGAGUGAAGAAGGUUUUCGGAUCGUAAAACUCUGUUGUUAGAGAAGAACAAGGACGUUAGUAACUGAACGUCCCCUGACGGUAUCUAACCAGAAAGCCACGGCUAACUACGUGCCAGCAGCCGCGGUAAUACGUAGGGUGCAAGCGUUAAUCGGAAUUACUGGGCGUAAAGCGCACGCAGGCGGUUUCUUAAGUCUGAUGUGAAAGCCCCCGGCUCAACCGGGGAGGGUCAUUGGAAACUGGGAGACUUGAGUGCAGAAGAGGAGAGUGGAACUCCAUGUGUAGCGGUGAAAUGCGUAGAUAUAUGGAGGAACAUCAGUGGCGAAGGCGGCUCUCUGGUCUGUAACUGACGCUGAGGCUCGAAAGCGUGGGGAGCAAACAGGAUUAAAUACCCUGGUAGUCCACGCCGUAAACGAUGAGUGCUAAGUGUUGGAGGGUUUCCGCCCUUCAGUGCUGCAGCAAACGCAUUAAGCACUCCGCCUGGGGAGUACGACC